Molecule: long non-coding RNA, 372 nt
Filed under: Ursus maritimus (polar bear)
Lineage: Eukaryota; Metazoa; Chordata; Mammalia; Carnivora; Ursidae
Description: lncRNA (ENSUMAG00000025516.1)
Source: RNAcentral
CUACCAGCAUGUGUUGGACUCUGAGGAGAGGUUUGCCUUAGCACAAGUGAUCACUGACAUCAUGCACAGGCACCCAAGGUUUGAUCUGAGCCACCCCUAUUUCAUUAAGGCCUACCGAGAUGAAUGCACCUGCCUGAGGCUUCACUUGCAGCUAGUGAAGGGCAUCCUCAAUCAGCACAUAGAGCGUCAGCGGGAGUAUGUCCAGAGGCUUUGGCAAGAAGGCCGUCCAGAUGAUAGCAGUAACUUUGGACUUCCCCUUAACAUCAUUUGCAAGCAGCUUAUUUCCAUCAACAAUAGCUGCUUUGAAAAACGUUUAUCUACUGGAGUUCCACCCUUCCCUGGGCCUGGCAUCUCUCAUCCCCCGAUCCCUUG